RNAcentral lists this ribosomal RNA (1343 nucleotides) under uncultured bacterium. RNAcentral's name for it is "16S ribosomal RNA". It matches the Rfam family "Bacterial small subunit ribosomal RNA", at positions 28 to 1378 of the family's 1533-position model. The record is from RNAcentral.
GACGAACGCUGGCGGCGUGCUUAACACAUGCAAGUCGAACGGAAAGGCCCUGCUUUUGUGGGGUGCUCGAGUGGCGAACGGGUGAGUAACACGUGAGUAACCUGCCCUUGACUCUGGGAUAACUUCAGGAAACUGGGGCUAAUACCGGAUAGGAGCUCCUGCUGCAUGGUGGGGGUUGGAAAGUUUCGGCGGUUGGGGAUGGACUCGCGGCUUAUCAGCUUGUUGGUGGGGUAGUGGCUUACCAAGGCUUUGACGGGUAGCCGGCCUGAGAGGGUGACCGGCCACAUUGGGACUGAGAUACGGCCCAGACUCCUACGGGAGGCAGCAGUGGGGAAUAUUGCACAAUGGGCGGAAGCCUGAUGCAGCAACGCCGCGUGCGGGAUGACGGCCUUCGGGUUGUAAACCGCUUUCGCCUGUGACGAAGCGUGAGUGACGGUAAUGGGUAAAGAAGCACCGGCUAACUACGUGCCAGCAGCCGCGGUGAUACGUAGGGUGCGAGCGUUGUCCGGAUUUAUUGGGCGUAAAGGGCUCGUAGGUGGUUGAUCGCGUCGGAAGUGUAAUCUUGGGGCUUAACCCUGAGCGUGCUUUCGAUACGGGUUGACUUGAGGAAGGUAGGGGAGAAUGGAAUUCCUGGUGGAGCGGUGGAAUGCGCAGAUAUCAGGAGGAACACCAGUGGCGAAGGCGGUUCUCUGGGCCUUUCCUGACGCUGAGGAGCGAAAGCGUGGGGAGCGAACAGGCUUAGAUACCCUGGUAGUCCACGCUGUAAACGGUGGGUACUAGGUGUGGGGUCCAUUCCACGGGUUCCGUGCCGUAGCUAACGCUUUAAGUACCCCGCCUGGGGAGUACGGCCGCAAGGCUAAAACUCAAAGGAAUUGACGGGGCCCCGCACAAGCGGCGGAGCAUGCGGAUUAAUUCGAUGCAACGCGUAGAACCUUACCUGGGUUUGACAUGGAUCGGGAGUGCUCAGAGAUGGGUGUGCCUCUUUUGGGGUCGGUUCACAGGUGGUGCAUGGCUGUCGUCAGCUCGUGUCGUGAGAUGUUGGGUUAAGUCCCGCAACGAGCGCAACCCUUGUUCACUGUUGCCAGCACGUUAUGGUGGGGACUCAGUGGAGACCGCCGGGGUCAACUCGGAGGAAGGUGGGGAUGACGUCAAGUCAUCAUGCCCCUUAUGUCCAGGGCUUCACGCAUGCUACAAUGGCUGGUACAGAGAGUGGCGAGCCUGUGAGGGUGAGCGAAUCUCGGAAAGCCGGUCUCAGUUCGGAUUGGGGUCUGCAACUCGACCUCAUGAAGUCGGAGUCGCUAGUAAUCGCAGAUCAGCAACGCUGCGGUGAAUACGUUCCCGGG